Molecule: non-coding RNA, 1629 nt
Organism: Osmia lignaria (orchard mason bee)
Lineage: Eukaryota; Metazoa; Arthropoda; Insecta; Hymenoptera; Megachilidae
Source: RefSeq, a predicted model, not a curated record
UUAGUGAACUUUUAUUUAGAAGAAAAAAAAGAAACAAAAAACAUUGAUUCAUUGUGAAUUUUUUUAACAAGUAUCAUAUGCUGUCUCCAAUAAAUACCAAUGAUGUUCAUGGAUUAACAUCAACAAAAUCAAAAAGGGUGUUUCGAAGGAGUCUCACUAAAUUUCAAGGUGGAUCAGUUGGGUGUUAGAAGUCGGCUCGUUCACCGGUUCCGCGCAAGAAACCAGGGAACCAUGGUCACAUCGAUUAAUUCUUUAUCGAUUCGACGCGGCGCGAGAAGAACCAUGAUAAAAACACUCUUCGUGAAGAUGCAAACGACCAGACGGAUCAAGGAGUAACGAAGAAACCGGUGCUUUUUAUUCGACAACCAAUCUUUCUGUAGCGUCAUGCCGAGUAAUUUGAAACUUGUUACAGGAAUACCGUGCAAAGAAAAGAUGAUCCAUUACAUCGUCGGCAUUAAUUUCUCGCGAUCGAUCCGAUCGUCUUCGUGGGAUCGAAGAACGCCUGGUUAAGCAAGAACCAAGAAGAAAAUCCAUGGAACCCGGAAAAUAGGUAGAAACAAAUCGUAAUGUGACGAAGUUACGGGGAAAUCUUCCCAUGAUGAGCUGAGAGGAAGAUCCAGUUCGUUCUCUCGAUGUCUCGAUCCUGUUCGAUCUAUCUAAUUCUUGGAUUAAGAGGUUCGACGCCCGUUACGAGAGAACGUGCUUCAAGAAACGCUGUUCUUUACAUCGACACGUCUUUCAGCACGUUUUCGGGAUCUCUGGGAAGCUUUAUGUUCACAGAAAUAAUGGUAGACCUGAUUGAGUGGGAAGAAUCAGGGAAGAGCAUCGAUAAAUAGGACCGUAGAGGGCCGUAUUCUACGAAUCGUAGAAUCGUCAAGCAGCCUCGUAAGGGUGUUUUCAUGCGACGAUCACGCGAAUAACCAUCGAUCGCUACGGGUUACGACACUAUGAAACGUCCAGCAAGUGCAUUCGGAAGCCGAUGAUGGAUCGUCGUGGAAAAAAAUAGCAGUUUGUAGACUGUGGUUCGAGGAAACAUCGUUCGAAGCAUUGUUUCAACAUCGAGUAAUGAGUCUGCUCGUACAACUCCAUCGAAGGGAAUGGUCUUUUGAAGAAAACUGACGGUGAUUCAAAGAGUUCCUACGAUCAUGAAUUAUAUUUUUAGAACGCCGAUCCGAGUUAUAAUUCUUCGCACGAUGAUCCAAUAAUUAAUACUCGCAAUUUCCGCAUAAACUUCCAGGAAAAAGGAACGAACCCUAACGAAGAUCGAGGAUAAUAAGAAGAAACAAGCGCUCGGAGAUUACAACGGUAAAGCAGUUUCCACGUACCAAGAUAUGUUCGUCGUUUAUUAUCAUUCGACGAAGAAAUUAAUUUGGCGGGAGAAAAGGGACGUGGACGACCUCAUGGGCGAUAUUAGCUGUUCCCCAUUAGAGCGGACCGGAACGUUUACAUUCGCUCGCUAGUAAGUAGCAAUAAAUAUUUGUUGGUCGACUGUCGAUCGCGACCAUUAGGUAACACAUGGCCUGACAGACGCACCUCUGUCUCUAUUCUAGAGCUUCAGUGUUCGCUAACACGUUAUACAGCCAUUCUUCGAAUGGUUCUCGCAUUAUUGAUUCAUGGUGUCAGAGUUAU